UGGGGAAUUUUGGACAAUGGGCGAAAGCCUGAUCCAGCAAUGCCGCGUGCAGGAAGAAGGCCUUCGGGUUGUAAACCGCUUUUGUCAGGGAAGAAAUCCUUUGAGCUAAUACCUCGGGGGGAUGACGGUACCUGAAGAAUAAGCACCGGCUAACUACGUGCCAGCAGCCGCGGUAAUACGUAGGGUGCAAGCGUUAAUCGGAAUUACUGGGCGUAAAGCGUGCGCAGGCGGUGAUGUAAAACAGUUGUGAAAUCCCCGGGCUCAACCUGGGAACUGCGAUUGUGACUGCAAGGCUAGAGUGUGUCAGAGGGGGGUGGAAUUCCACGUGUAGCAGUGAAAUGCGUAGAGAUGUGGAGGAACACCGAUGGCGAAGGCAGCCCCCUGGGAUAACACUGACGCUCAUGCACGAAAGCGUGGGGAGCAAACA
RNAcentral lists this ribosomal RNA (427 nucleotides) under uncultured bacterium. RNAcentral describes it as "bacterial SSU rRNA". It matches the Rfam family "Bacterial small subunit ribosomal RNA", at positions 355 to 774 of the family's 1533-position model. The record is from RNAcentral.